GGACUACCAGGGUUUCUAAUCCCGUUUGCUCCCCUGGCUUUCGCGCCUCAGCGUCAGUAGGUGUCCAGCACGUCGCUUUCGCCACCGGCGUUCCUUCCGAUAUCUACGCAUUUCACCGCUCCACCGGAAGUUCCACAUGCCCCUGCACCCCUCGAGACCACCAGUAUCCGCGGCACUUCUCCGGUUAAGCCGGAGGAUUUCACCACAGACUUGAUGGCCCGCCUACGCGCCCUUUAAGCCCAGUGAAUCCGAACAACGUUCGCACGGUUCGUCUUACCGCGGCGGCUGGCAC
RNAcentral lists this ribosomal RNA (292 nucleotides) under uncultured Planctomycetota bacterium. Its description in RNAcentral is "uncultured planctomycete partial 16S ribosomal RNA". The record is from RNAcentral. Lineage: Bacteria; Pseudomonadati; Planctomycetota.